This is an RNA transcript of Mytilus trossulus (common blue mussel), 3725 nucleotides long. RefSeq lists it as uncharacterized. The transcript is spliced from 4 exons. NCBI's taxonomy places the organism in Eukaryota, Metazoa, Mollusca, Bivalvia, Mytilida, Mytilidae. The record is from RefSeq and is a predicted model, not a curated record.
UAUUUAUUGGGCACUUUGAUUUGGCGGAAAAGUUCUUUUGUUCUAAUUUGUGAACAUUUAUCAUGAGGGGUUUCAUUUCGAAUUACUAGUUACACAGUCACUGAGGUGGUGGUUGGAAAGUCUCUUGCUAAGACGGAUGGAGCCAAGAUGAACGUUCAGCCCUAGACCCGAAGGAAGACAAUUUCAUUAUAGUUGCCAGAUAAGAUGAUGUGGUGUCCAAGGAUCGGAACAGCAGGUAUGUUAAGAUAAGAUUGUGUAAUGUUUGUAUGCCUUUUGUCCAAAUUUCCUCUAGGUGGCGUCCCAAGGAUCAGAAGGACAGGUAUGUUCAGAUAAGAUUGUGUAUAUGUGUGUAUGCCUUUUUGUCCAAAUUUCCUCUAGGUGGCGUCCAAGGAUUGGAUGUGCAGGUAUGUUAAGAUAAGAUUGUCUAUAUGUUUGUAUGCCUUUUGUCAGAAUUUCCUCUAGGUGGCCUUCCAAGAAUCGGAACAACAGGUAUGUUAAGAUAAGAUUGUGUGCAUGAUUGUAUGUCUUUUUGUCCAAAUUUCCUUUAGGUGGAGUCCCAAGGAUCGGAACAACAGGUAUGUUAAGAUAAGAUUGUGUAUAUGUUUGUAUGCCUUUUGUCCAAAUUUCCUCUAGGUGGCGUCCAAGAAUCGGAACAACAGGUAUGUUAAGAUAAGAUUGUGUAUAUGUUUGUAUGCCUUUUUGUCCAAAUUUCCUUUAGGUGGAGUCCCAAGGAUCGGAACAACAGGUAUGUUAAGAUAAGAUUGUGUAUAUGUUUGUAUGCCUUUUUGUCCAAAUUUCCUCUAGGUGGCAUCCCAAGGAUCAGAAGGACAGGUAUGUUUGGAUAAGAUUGUGUAUAUGUUUGUAUGCCUUUUUGUCCAAAUUUCCUCUAGGUUGCGUCCCAAAGAUCAGAAGGACAGGUAUGUUAAGAUAAGAUUGUGUGCAUGAUUGUAUGUCUUUUUGUCCAAGUUUCCUCUAGGUGGGCAUCCAAGAAUCGGAUGAGCAGGUAUGUUAAAAUAAGAUUGUGUGUACAUGUUUGUAUGCCUUUUGUCCAAAUUUCUUCUAGGUCAGGCGUCCCAAGGAGUAGAAGGAAAGGUAUGUUAAGAUAAGAUUGUGUAUAUGUUUGUAUGCCUUUUUGUCCAAAUUUCCUCUAGGUGGAGUCCCAAGGAUCAGACAACAGGUAUGUUAAGAUAAGAUUGUGUAUAUGUUUGUAUGCCUUUUGUCCAAAUUUCCUCUAGGUGGCAUCCCAAGGAUCAGAAGGACAGGUAUGUUUAGAUAAGAUUGUGUAUAUGUUUGUAUGCCUUUUUGUCCAAAUUUCCUCUAGGUGGCGUCCCAAAGAUCAGAACAGCAGGUAUGUUAAGAUAAGAUUGUGUAUAUGUUUGUAUGCCUUUUUGUCCAAAUUUCCUUUAGGUGGUGUCCCAAGGAUCAGAACAGCAGGUAUGUUAAGAUAAGAUUGUGUAUAUGUUUGUAUGCCUUUUGUCCAAAUUUCCUCUAGGUGGCAUCCCAAGGAUCAGAAGGACAGGUAUGUUUAGAUAAGAUUGUGUAUAUGUUUGUAUGCCUUUUUGUCCAAAUUUCCUCUAGGUGGCGUCCCAAAGAUCAGAAGGACAGGUAUGUUAAAAUAAGAUUGUGUGCAUGAUUGUAUGUCUUUUUGUCCAAGUUUCCUCUAGGUGGCGUCCAAGGAUAGGAUGAGCAGGUAUGUUAAAUUAAGAUUAUGUAUAUGUUUGUAUGCCUUUUUGUCCAAAUUUCCUCUAGGUGGAGUCCCAAGGAUCGGAACAACAGGUAUGUUAAGAUAAGAUUGUGUAUAUGUUUGUAUGCCUUUUGUCCAAAUUUCCUCUAGGUGGCGUCCCAAAGAUCAGAACAGCAGGUAUGUUAAGAUAAGAUUGUGUAUAUGUUUGUAUGCCUUUUUGUCCAAAUUUCCUUUAGGUGGUGUCCCAAGGAUCAGAACAGCAGGUAUGUUAAGAUAAGAUUGUGUAUAUGUUUGUAUGCCUUUUGUCCAAAUUUCCUCUAGGUGGCAUCCCAAAGAUCAGAAGGACAGGUAUGUUUAGAUAAGAUUGUGUAUAUGUUUGUAUGCCUUUUUGUCCAAAUUUCCUCUAGGUGGCGUCCCAAAGAUCAGAAGGACAGGUAUGUUAAAAUAAGAUUGUGUGCAUGAUUGUAUGUCUUUUUGUCCAAGUUUCCUCUAGGUGGCGUCCAAGGAUAGGAUGAGCAGGUAUGUUAAAUUAAGAUUAUGUAUAUGUUUGUAUGCCUUUUUGUCCAAAUUUCCUCUAGGUGGCAUCCCAAGGAUUGGAACAGCAGGUAUGUUAAGAUAAGAUUGUGUAUAUGUUUGUAUGCCUUUUGUCCAAAUUUCCUCUAGGUGGGCAUCCAAGAAUCGGAUGAGCAGGUAUGUUAAGAUAAGAUUGUGUGUACAUGUUUGUAUGCCUUUUGUCCAAAUUUCCUCUAGGUCAGGCGUCCCAAGGAGUAGAAGGAAAGGUAUGUUAAGAUAAGAUUGUAUAUGUUUGUAUGCCUUUUUGUCCAAAUUUCCUCUAGGUGGAGUCCCAAGGAUUGGAACAACAGGUAUGUUAAGAUAAGAUUGUGUAUAUGUUUGAAUGCCUUUUGUCCAAAUUUCCUCUAGGUGGCGUCCCAAGGAUCGGAACAACAGGUAUGUUAAGAUAAGAUUGUGUAUAUGUUUGUAUGCCUUUUUGUCCAAAUUUCCUCUAGGUGGCGUCCAAGGAUCGGAUGAGCAGGUAUGUUAAGAUAAGAUUGUGUAUAUGUUUGUAUGCCUCUUGUCCAAAUUUCCUCUAGGUGGCCUCCCAAGAAUCGGAACAACAGGUAUGUUAAGAUAAGAUUGUGUAUAUGUUUGUAUGCCUUUUUGUCCAAAUUUCCUCUAGGUGGCGUCCAAGAAUAGAUGAGCAGGUAUGUUAAGAUAAGAUUGUGUAUAUGUUUGUAUGCCUUUUGUCCAAAUUUCCUCUAGGUGGCGUCCCAAGAAUCAGAAGGAAAGGUAUGUUAAGAUAAGAUUGUGUAUAUGUUUGUAUGCCUUUUUGUCAAAAUUUCUUCUAGGUGGCGUCCCAAGGAUCAGAACAACAGGUAUGUUAAGAUAAGAUUGUGUAUAUGUUUGUAUGCCUUUUGUCCAAAUUUCCUCUAGGUGGCCUCCCAACAAUUGAAACAACAGGUAUGUUAAGAUAAGAUUGUCUAUAUGUUUGUAUGCCUUUUGUCCAAAUUUCCUCUAGGUGGCCUCCCAAGAAUCGGAACAACAGGUAUGUUAAGAUAAGAUUGUGUGCAUGAUUGUAUGUCUUUUUGUCCAAAUUUUCUCUAGGUGGCGUCCAAGAAUCGGAUGAGAAGGUAUGCUAAGAUAAGAUUGUGUAUAUGUUUGUAUGCCUUUUGUCCAAAUUUCCUCUAGGUGGCCUACCAAGAAUCGGAACAACAGGUAUGUUAAGAUAAGAUUGUGUGCAUGUUUGUCUUAUAUUAAGAUGAUUUAAGUUUGUAUUACAGAUGGAGGAGCCCAGAUGAAAGUUCAGUACUACCCCUGAAGGAAAACUGGAUCAUUUUAGUUGCCAGAUAAUGAUGAUGCAAAAAGAGCAUGGACACCAAAAAUUGCGCCAUUGAUAAAGAUCUGGAAAGAAGCUUAAAGGAAGGACCAAGUUUCAGUUGAGAUGGCAGAAUCAAGCAGCAAAGGAAAGCAGCUGGAAUGAAGAUUAAUUAUUACAUUGAUCUUCAACCAAGUCUGAGGCUUUGUCAUGAAAAAAAUAAUGCAA